GGAUGUGAGGGUGAUCGGGCAGCAGCAUCUGUCACUCAUGGAUCACCGGGUUUGACUGGGCUGCUCUGGCUGUCAGGACAGGUGUCCCCUUCCUCCCUCACCGCUCGUUGUGCAUCCCUCCCCUUCCUGAAGCUCCGAAGAGGACCAUUUCCUAGGUCAACUCAACGGUGUAGCAGUAGCUGCACUUCUCUGCUGAACCUCCAAAUAAGCUCUCGAAGGCACAAGGGUGCACCUUCCCUACUAGGUUAGAUUGGUGGGCACGAUUUAGCUCUGAAAUUAUGCUGAGAUCUAAAAUGUACAUCGUCA
RNAcentral lists this small nuclear RNA (306 nucleotides) under Chinchilla lanigera (long-tailed chinchilla). RNAcentral's name for it is "7SK RNA (ENSCLAG00000022188.1)". The stretch from base 1 to 272 matches the Rfam family "7SK RNA". Rfam says of the family: 7SK was discovered as an abundant small nuclear RNA in the mid-70s but a possible function has only recently been suggested. Lineage: Eukaryota; Metazoa; Chordata; Mammalia; Rodentia; Chinchillidae. The record is from RNAcentral.